Molecule: ribosomal RNA, 441 nt
Filed under: uncultured bacterium
Lineage: Bacteria
Description: partial 16S ribosomal RNA
Rfam family: Bacterial small subunit ribosomal RNA
Source: RNAcentral
CCUACGGGAGGCAGCAGUGGGGAAUAUUGGGCAAUGGAGGAAACUCUGACCCAGCAACGCCGCGUUAAUGAUGAAGGUUUUCGGAUUGUAAACUUCUGUCGCGAGGGAUGAAGAAUGACGGUACCUCGUAAGAAAGCCCCGGCAAACUACGUGCAAGCAGCCGCGGUAAUACGUAGGGGGCCAGCGUUGUCCGGCAUGCCUGGGCGGAACGGGAGUGUAGGAGGCAUAUUAAGUUAUGUGUGAAAGCCCGCGGAUCAACCGCGGAAUUGCACAUAAAACUGGUAAGCGGGAGUGUUGGAGAGGGAAGUAGAAGUCCCGGUGUAGCGGUGGAAUGCGUAGAGAUCGGGAGGAACACCAGAGGCGAAGGCGACUUACUGGACUGAAACUGACGCUGAGGUUCGAAAGCGUGGGGAGCAAACAGGAUUAGAUACCCGAGUAGUC